Molecule: ribosomal RNA, 468 nt
Filed under: uncultured bacterium
Lineage: Bacteria
Description: partial 16S ribosomal RNA
Rfam family: Bacterial small subunit ribosomal RNA
Source: RNAcentral
GACGAACGCUGGCGGCGUGCUUAACACAUGCAAGUCGAACGGAAAGGCCCUGCUUUUGUGGGGUGCUCGAGUGGCGAACGGGUGAGUAACACGUGAGUAACCUGCCCUUGACUUUGGGAUAACUUCAGGAAACUGGGGCUAAUACCGGAUAGGAGCUCCUGCUGCAUGGUGGGGGUUGGAAAGUUUCGGCGGUUGGGGAUGGACUCGCGGCUUAUCAGCUUGUUAGUGGGGUAGUGGCUUACCAAGGCUUUGACGGGUAGCCGGCCUGAGAGGGUGACCGGCCACAUUGGGACUGAGAUACGGCCCAGACUCCUACGGGAGGCAGCAGUGGGGAAUAUUGCACAAUGGGCGGAAGCCUGAUGCAGCAACGCCGCGUGCGGGAUGACGGCCUUCGGGUUGUAAACCGCUUUCGCCUGUGACGAAGCGUGGGUGACGGUAAUGGGUAAAGAAGCACCGGCUAACUACGUG